This 421-nucleotide ribosomal RNA is filed under the name uncultured Methanobacteriales archaeon. Its description in RNAcentral is "partial 16S ribosomal RNA". It matches the Rfam family "Archaeal small subunit ribosomal RNA", at positions 330 to 747 of the family's 1478-position model. The record is from RNAcentral. Lineage: Archaea; Methanobacteriati; Methanobacteriota; Methanobacteria; Methanobacteriales.
GCGCAGCAGGCGCGAAAACUCCGCAAUGCGCGAAAGCGUGACGGGGGAACCCCAAGUGCCGUUGGUCUUCUGAUCGACGGCUUUUGUGGAGUCUAGGAAGCUCCACGAAUAAGGGCUGGGUAAGUCGGGUGCCAGCCGCCGCGGUAAUACCCGCAGCCCAAGUGGUGGUCGCGAUUAUUGGGCCUAAAGCGCUCGUAGCCGGACUAGCAAGUCCCUUGUGAAAUCGGGCGGCCUAACCGUUCGGCUUGCAAGGGAUACUGCUGGCCUUGAGGCCGGAAGACGCCGAGGGUACUCUGGGGGUAGCGGUGAAAUGCUGUAAUCCUCGGGGGACCACCAGUGGCGAAGGCGGGUAGCCAGAACGCGCUCGACGGUGAGGGGCGAAAGCUGGGGGAGUGAACCGGAUUAGAUACCCGGGUAGUCC